Molecule: ribosomal RNA, 301 nt
Filed under: uncultured bacterium
Lineage: Bacteria
Description: partial 16S ribosomal RNA
Rfam family: Bacterial small subunit ribosomal RNA
Source: RNAcentral
CAGUCGCCGCGGGAAUACGUAGGUGGCAAGCGUUGUCCGGAAUUAUUGGGCGUAAAGGGCUCGCAGGCGGUUUCUUAAGUCUGAUGUGAAAGCCCCCGGCUCAACCGGGGAGGGUCAUUGGAAACUGGGAAACUUGAGUGCAGAAGAGGAGAGUGGAAUUCCACGUGUAGCGGUGAAAUGCGUAGAGAUGUGGAGGAACACCAGUGGCGAAGGCGACUCUCUGGUCUGUAACUGACGCUGGGGAGCGAAAGCGUGGGGAGCGAACAGGAUUAGAUACCCGUGUAGUCCCUGUCUCUUAUAC